This 497-nucleotide ribosomal RNA is filed under the name uncultured bacterium. RNAcentral describes it as "partial 16S ribosomal RNA". It matches the Rfam family "Bacterial small subunit ribosomal RNA", at positions 28 to 507 of the family's 1533-position model. The record is from RNAcentral.
GAUGAACGCUGGCGGCGUGCCUAAUACAUGCAAGUCGAGCGAACGGACGAGAAGCUUGCUUCUCUGAUGUUAGCGGCGGACGGGUGAGUAACACGUGGAUAACCUACCUAUAAGACUGGGAUAACUCCGGGAAACCGGAGCUAAUACCGGAUAAUAUUUUGAACCGCAUGGUUCAAAAGUGAAAGACGGUCUUGCUGUCACUUAUAGAUGGAUCCGCGCUGCAUUAGCUAGUUGGUAAGGUAACGGCUUACCAAGGCAACGGUGCAUAGCCGACCUGAGAGGGUGAUCGGCCACACUGGAACUGAGACACGGUCCAGACUCCUACGGGAGGCAGCAGUAGGGAAUCUUCCGCAAUGGGCGAAAGCCUGACGGAGCAACGCCGCGUGAGUGAUGAAGGUCUUCGGAUCGUAAAACUCUGUUAUUAGGGAAGAACAUAUGUGUAAGUAACUGUGCACAUCUUGACGGUACCUAAUCAGAAAGCCACGGCUAACUACGUG